CCGUAGCCCAAGAGAUCGGGAUAACACCUGGAAACAGAUGCUAAUACCGGAUAACAACAGAUGAUGCCUAUCAACUGUUUAAAAGAUGGUUCUGCUAUCACUCCUGGAUGGACCUGCGGUGCAUUAGCUAGUUGGUAGGGUAACGGCCUACCAAGGCGAUGAUGCAUAGCCGAGUUGAGAGACUGAUCGGCCACAUUGGGACUGAUACACGGCCCAAACUCCUACGGGAGGCAGCAGCC
RNAcentral lists this ribosomal RNA (239 nucleotides) under uncultured Lactobacillus sp. RNAcentral describes it as "partial 16S ribosomal RNA". It matches the Rfam family "Bacterial small subunit ribosomal RNA", at positions 125 to 355 of the family's 1533-position model. The record is from RNAcentral. Lineage: Bacteria; Bacillati; Bacillota; Bacilli; Lactobacillales; Lactobacillaceae.